RNAcentral lists this ribosomal RNA (282 nucleotides) under uncultured bacterium. Its description in RNAcentral is "partial 16S ribosomal RNA". It matches the Rfam family "Bacterial small subunit ribosomal RNA", at positions 335 to 603 of the family's 1533-position model. The record is from RNAcentral.
ACUCCUACGGGAGGCAGCAGUGGGGAAUAUUGCACAAUGGGCGCAAGCCUGAUGCAGCCAUGCCGCGUGUAUGAAGAAGGCCUUCGGGUUGUAAAGUACUUUCAGCAAGUGAGGAAGGCCGGGGUACGUUAAAUAGCGUGCUCGUUUUGACGUAGCUGCAGAAAGAAGCNCCGGGCUAACUCCGUGCCAGCAGCCGCGGUAAUACGGAGGGUGCGAGCGUUAAUCGGAAUUACUGGGCGUAAAGCGCAUGCAGGUGGUUUGUUAAGUCAGAUGUGAAAGCCC